This 485-nucleotide ribosomal RNA is filed under the name Starmerella bombi. RNAcentral's name for it is "partial large subunit ribosomal RNA". It matches the Rfam family "Eukaryotic large subunit ribosomal RNA", at positions 38 to 544 of the family's 3401-position model. The record is from RNAcentral. Lineage: Eukaryota; Fungi; Ascomycota; Dipodascomycetes; Dipodascales; Trichomonascaceae.
GCAUAUCAAUAAGCGGAGGAAAAGAAACCAACAGGGAUUGCCUUAGUAGCGGCGAGUGAACAGGCAAGAGCUCAGAUUUGAAAGCCUUUCGGGGCAUUGUAUUCUGAAGCCUUGGUCCUGGGAAACCGAUGUCUAAGUCUUCUGGAAAGGAGCGCCAUGGAGGGUGAUAGCCCCGUACGACAUUGACCCCACUGUAGGACCUUGGCAUGGAGUCGAGUUGUUUGGGAAUGCAGCUCAAAUGGGUGGUAUGCUCCAUCUAAAGCUAAAUAUCUGCGAGAGACCGAUAGCGAACAAGUACUGUGAAGGAAAGAUGAAAAGAACUUUGAAAAGAGAGUGAAAAAGUACGUGAAAUUGUUGAAAUGGAAGGGUAGGCCGCUAACCACGUAGAGUCGUGUUUGGGGGGAAGAUAAAAGCUGAAGAAUGUAACUCCUUGGAGUAUUAUAGCUUCAGUCCAUAUUCCCACCCGAGCGCGAGGACUUAAGAUU